This 492-nucleotide ribosomal RNA is filed under the name uncultured bacterium. RNAcentral's name for it is "partial 16S ribosomal RNA". It matches the Rfam family "Bacterial small subunit ribosomal RNA", at positions 29 to 507 of the family's 1533-position model. The record is from RNAcentral.
AGUGAACGCUGGCGGUAGGCCUAACACAUGCAAGUCGAACGGCAGCACAGUAAGAGCUUGCUCUUACGGGUGGCGAGUGGCGGACGGGUGAGGAAUACAUCGGAAUCUACUUUUUCGUGGGGGAUAACGUAGGGAAACUUACGCUAAUACCGCAUACGACCUACGGGUGAAAGCAGGGGAUCUUCGGACCUUGCGCGAUUGAAUGAGCCGAUGUCGGAUUAGCUAGUUGGCGGGGUAAAGGCCCACCAAGGCGACGAUCCGUAGCUGGUCUGAGAGGAGGAUAGGCCACACUAGAACUGAGACACGGUCCAGACUCCUACGGGAGGCAGCAGUGGGGAAUAGUGGACAAUGGGCGCAAGCCUGAUCCAGCCAUACCGCGUGGGUGAAGAAGGCCUUCGGGUUGUAAAGCCCUUUUGUUGGGAAAGAAAAGCAGCAGGUUAAUACCCCGCUGUUCUGACGGUACCCAAAGAAUAAGCACCGGCUAACUUCGUG